Molecule: non-coding RNA, 252 nt
Filed under: Marvinbryantia formatexigens
Lineage: Bacteria; Bacillati; Bacillota; Clostridia; Lachnospirales; Lachnospiraceae
Description: T-box sequence
Rfam family: T-box leader
About the family: Uncharged tRNA acts as the effector for transcription antitermination of genes in the T-box leader family. T-boxes are found upstream of many aminoacyl-tRNA synthetase genes and some amino acid biosynthetic genes usually in Gram-positive bacteria. The anticodon of a specific tRNA base pairs to a specifier sequence within the T-box motif, and the NCCA acceptor tail of the tRNA base pairs to a conserved bulge in the T-box antiterminator hairpin.
Source: RNAcentral
AUAAAGGCAAUGAAGGUGUCAGUAGAGCAUUAUUUUCCGCCAGAGAGAGGAUGUCAGCGGCUGGAAGCAUCCCUAGGUUCCUGUAAUGCGUCGAAUUUCCCACCGGAGCUGCAUUUCUGAACGCAGGGCAGUAUUCUUCGUUAUAAGGCGCAUGUCAGUAGGAAAUGACGUCUAGGCACGUUACGCUGAUACGAGUGCCUGCCGGCGGCAGGAAACAGGGUGGUACCACGGAUUAUAAGCUUCGUCCCUAUG